ACGUAGGUGGCAAGCGUUGUCCGGAUUUAUUGGGCGUAAAGCGAGCGCAGGCGGUCUUUUAAGUCUGAUGUGAAAGCCCCCGGCUUAACCGGGGAGGGUCAUUGGAAACUGGGAGACUUGAGUGCAGAAGAGGAAAGCGGAAUUCCAUGUGUAGCGGUGAAAUGCGUAGAUAUAUGGAGGAACACCAGUGGCGAAGGCGGCUUUCUGGUCUGUAACUGACGCUGAGGCUCGAAAGCGUGGGGAGCAAACAGGAUUAGAUACCCUGGUAGUCCACGCCGUAAACGAUGAGUGCUAAGUGUUGGAGGGUUUCCGCCCUUCAGUGCUGCAGCAAACGCAUUAAGCACUCCGCCUGGGGAGUACGACCGCAAGGUUG
RNAcentral lists this ribosomal RNA (373 nucleotides) under uncultured bacterium. RNAcentral's name for it is "bacterial SSU rRNA". It matches the Rfam family "Bacterial small subunit ribosomal RNA", at positions 525 to 896 of the family's 1533-position model. The record is from RNAcentral.